AGUAUGCUUAAACCAAGAGGGUAAUUGUCUUUUAAAUCUCCCUGCAAACCCCCGUGGAUACCUGGACGGUGGCAGGAUGUGUCGGUGCUGGGCCUCGAGGAUCUGCUGCUGGAGGAGGUAUUGCUGGUGUAAUGCCUGAGACAAAGCGGACUGGAUCAGAACAGAUGAAAUCUACCAGGAUAGGUUCUUCAAAGCAGUUCUUGUAAAUUCUGCAGCUGACAGUGGGUCAGUGCACUCGGUAAAACCUUUAGUACCUGGCUGUCUAUGAGAUAUAUAUAAACUGUUAAAGUGCCAAGUCUAUCUAUAUAACCAUAAAGAACAAUUAUUUCCCUCUUAGAAGUUAAACCAGACAAUGAAUUCACUAUCAUGCAUCUGUGCUUCACUGAAACCUCCUGUAUCUUUGUGUCUUACACACACAGUACAGCACUUCUUGUUCUUCUCCCAUGUGAACAUUCAGGAGUCGAGAGGAAAUAGCUCGAAUGCUUUUUUUUACUCUCUCCAACCACAGCUAUUUGGCAACUGCAGCAAGCAGACUGCUGUAGAGACUCAGUUGGGAAAAAAAAGGCAGUCUGACUUGUGCUGUGGAGCAAUAUGGUUUUAAUGCCCAACUUAAGCUUAAAAAGACGGUUUUGAUUAAUGGAAAGGUUGGGAAAUUGCAACAUCAAAUUUAGCUUUGAAUUAAAACUUUUCAGGAAAUGCUGGGCCAAAAGAAGCCAUGCUAGGCCUGCAGUGGAGCAGGAUUUGAUAUUCUGUGUGUCGUUACGUCCAUCUGGCAGAAACUGAAGCAGUGAAUUUCAAAUCUUCCAUUUCAGAGAUUCAAGUUGUGCAGUUCUUAAAGAAGAUAGAAAUAAAAUCCAGUGUGAGGUUUUAGUUUAAUCUGAUUUUUUUAAAGUGUAUAAAGACAUGACAAAUUCUGAUGUAAACAGUGAAAAUCUUUUUUUAAAAAUCAUGAGGAAAUAGGCAAAGUCUACAUUGCAUUUACUAGGAGUACGCUUGAAAAACGCAGUAUGGUUUUAAACACACUCAGGAAAGAUAAGCAGUAUGACUUUCCAGCAUUAUUUUCAGCUUGACAAGUCGUCAGCGCAGCCGGGCGGACAAGAGAUGACCUUGCAGCCGUGGGUCAAAGGCUCAAGUCUAGACUGUGAGUAGCACACUGCGUUUUCAAGCGUCUCAGUGAGAACGAUCACCAUGAAUGACAGCAGAUAGACUCAUUCAGGCCCUGUGAUGGAGGAAGCGUGGAAAUUGUCUAUCUUUGUCACAGCAGGAGAGGAGGUGGGUGGGGGAAGGGGGGUGGAGGGGGGGGGCAGGUAGGGACAAGGGAGAGGGAGGACAAUAAAUGGAAAUCAGCAAGAAGCACACUGAAGGUUAGGAAAAACACUAUAUUCUUUAUUGAAAAAUAUUAGUAUAUGUGGAAUUUGUGUUUUCUUUGUUUGUUUGUAAUAAUAGUAUAAAUCCAUGCAACAAAAAUAAACAACAUAGACUGAAGGCAAGGCCCACCAUGCUCCAUAUAGGGUUAAAAAGAACAAAAGCGGCAUCCAAUGAGCAGACGUGUUGGCUACAGCACAUGAUUCCAGUACAGCAGGGUACAUCUUUACUACAGAAAGAUUACAUUGGAUUUUCACUAGUCAAUGUAGAAAACCAAAAACCAAAAAUUAUGAAUCAUAAAAUGUGACCAUGCAUUGAAAGUACUAUUACCAGAACAAAAGGUAAAGAGAGACCACAACCAAACAAUAAAAAGACGUUAUUACUAAUAGAGGAUCUCUUUAGCAGUGCAGGAAAAUAGGCAUCCCUGUGAAAUGGAUAGCAUUUUGGCCUCAUGUUAGUGGGGAAAAUUGGGAAGUGAUGAACCACCAGUGAUCAUGUUUUGCUUACUUUUUUUUCCCUUUCUUUUUAUAAUUUCAUUUGCUCACGAGGAGCAAACAGCCCUGACAAUUCAGUGUGAUUCGAAGCUUGAAAAUUUGCAAAGGGAACAAAAGGAUUACACAAAAAUGGAGACAGUUAUGGCAGGUUGUUGUGUGCAGGUGCAGUGUACCUUCAAGUCAUUUCAAGUGAUAGCAUGACAGCGUUUGCUGAAAUGCAAAGUUUAAGUAAAUGAAAAAAAAACUGCAUGCAUGUGGUGCCAAUUAGCAUGCUUAUUUUCUUUUUCAAUUAUGGGUCACUUUAAAUCAUGUACAUUGCACCUUGUGUGAAGAGAAGGAAGAUGAGCCAAAUUCUGGUGUUCAACAAUGCAGUGCAGUAUUUAAGAUCAUGCAAAAUGUAUCCACUUUACAGGAAUUUACAGCAUGUUGUCUAUCAAGACUGGAUGGGAGGUACACAAUGACAUUCAACUGAUAUCUAAUAAAAAGGAGCUAUAAAUGUUUACUCAGUGCUACAGCAAUUUGACAGAAAAAAGACAAAAAAGGUGCUCUGGUCUAGGUGUUAGCUAUUGUUUUUUUGUUUUUUUUUAGUCUGCUUAACAUGGAAAAAAAGUCUAUGAAUACAUCUCGGGAAAGGGGGUGCUUUUUUUAAUACCAAUGUCGUCUUCUGAUGGAAAGAGGAAAUGAAGAAGGGAUU
This is a long non-coding RNA of Acanthopagrus latus (yellowfin seabream), 2553 nucleotides long. RefSeq lists it as uncharacterized. Lineage: Eukaryota; Metazoa; Chordata; Actinopteri; Spariformes; Sparidae. The transcript is spliced from 2 exons. The record is from RefSeq and is a predicted model, not a curated record.